Helianthus annuus (common sunflower) is the source of this 487-nucleotide long non-coding RNA. RefSeq lists it as uncharacterized. The transcript is spliced from 3 exons. The record is from RefSeq and is a predicted model, not a curated record. Lineage: Eukaryota; Viridiplantae; Streptophyta; Magnoliopsida; Asterales; Asteraceae.
CUCUCCUAAAAUUCGUUCAAGGCCAAACACCACCAACAUCACUUUCAUUUCAAUAUUCAAACUCAAGAACACAUGCUCAUAUGGAAGUUCAUGGAUGAAACAAGAUACUAGGGAGUUUAGUAAAGCUAUUUGGAGCAUUUUUGGUGGAACUAGAAGCCCUAGAUCAUCAAGAUUUUUCUUAUCUUCAUCCUUAUUUCCUAGCAAAAAUUGUCGAGAAACGAACCGCGAACAAGGAAUCGAAUAGAGAUUUGCACGGAACGCGAAUCUGAGAUUAGUGGACGGCUUUGGAAAAAUAUGUUCAAGUGGUUAUCAAGAACGCAAGCUUUUGUGAUGUCAUCCGUUUUCGAUUGUUAUGUUUUGAACUUUGAAUAAUGUAGUUAAAGUUGGUGUUGUUUCAAGUUUCAAACAAGACAUAUGUAAUGUAAACUAUGGUUUCGAAUCAAAUGUAUGGAUGAACAUCUUUUAUGUUUCAAAUAUGUUGUUUACU